RNAcentral lists this ribosomal RNA (499 nucleotides) under uncultured bacterium. RNAcentral describes it as "partial 16S ribosomal RNA". It matches the Rfam family "Bacterial small subunit ribosomal RNA", at positions 899 to 1397 of the family's 1533-position model. The record is from RNAcentral.
ACUCAAAUGAAUAGACGGGGGCCCGCACAAGCGGUGGAGCAUGUGGUUCAAUUCGAAGCAACGCGAAGAACCUUACCAGCUCUUGACAUGCCUCGUAUGGUCGCUGGAGACAGCUUCCUUCCCGCAAGGGGCGAGAGCACAGGUGCUGCAUGGCUGUCGUCAGCUCGUGUCGUGAGAUGUUGGGUUAAGUCCCGCAACGAGCGCAACCCUCGCCCUUAGUUGCCAUCAUUUAGUUGGGCACUCUAAGGGGACUGCCGGUGAUAAGCCGGAGGAAGGUGGGGAUGACGUCAAGUCCUCAUGGCCCUUACGGGCUGGGCUACACACGUGCUACAAUGGCGGUGACAGAGGGACGCAAAGGGGCAACCCUUCGCAAAUCUCAAAAAGCCGUCUCAGUUCGGAUUGGGGUCUGCAACUCGACCCCAUGAAGUUGGAAUCGCUAGUAAUCGUGGAUCAGCACGCCACGGUGAAUACGUUCCCGGGCCUUGUACACACCGCCCGU